Columba livia (rock pigeon) is the source of this 4576-nucleotide RNA transcript. It is a transcript of the gene named ribosomal RNA processing 12 homolog, with no coding region annotated. The record is from RefSeq and is a predicted model, not a curated record. The transcript is spliced from 34 exons. NCBI's taxonomy places the organism in Eukaryota, Metazoa, Chordata, Aves, Columbiformes, Columbidae.
CGUGCCGGGCAGCGACCUGAAUUGCGGGGAUUGUGAACGGUUCCAGAUGGGUUCGGCACCAGCCGUCCCCUCGCCCCGCAGGGGCAUGUCUGGCAGCUUGUCCUGAUGGCGGCUGCUCCUGGGUCCUUUGAGGCUCCCGGCCAAGCCCCAACCGGCCACGGUCCCCCUCCGCUUCCCCAAAGCUGCUUCCCACCCGCCCCGCCGGCAGGCGGCCAGCCCUGAGGGCAGCGCUCCCUCACUCAAGAUGGCGGCCGGCGCCGGAAGCGGAAGGGGGUGUGGCGCGGCGGCACGUGGAGCCGGUUCCAGCAUGGCGCGGAGCGGGCGGCUCAGGUCCGGCGCUGCCUCCAAGCUGAAGCGGUGGCGGAAGGGCCACAGCAGCGACUGCAACCCCGAGACCCGCCAACACCGCCUGGCCGCCCGCAGCCGCUUCUGCAGCCGGCCCGCGGAGAAAAGCAACUUGACGGUGGAUGCGGUGAAGCUGCACAAUGAACUGCAGUCGGGGUCCCUGCGUUUGGAGCGACCAAGUGACAGCACUCAGCUCCGUAUGGAGGAGGAUGAUGCUGGGGAGGCCGCCACAGAGAAGUCCUCUGGCACUUUCCUGAGCGGGCUGAGCGACUGCACCAACGUCACCUUCAGCAAGGUGCAGCGCUUCUGGGAGUCCAACUCUGCUGCUCACAAAGAGAUCUGUGCCGUGCUGGCAGCCGUGACAGAGGUGAUCCGCUCACGGGGGGGCAGGGAGAGCGAGACAGAGUAUUUUGCUGCACUGAUGACCACGCUGGAGGCAGUGGAGUCCCCCGAGUCACUUGCUGCUGUUGCCUACCUUCUCAACCUUGUCCUAAAGCGGGUCCCAAGCCCUGUGCUCAUAAAAAAGUUCUCAGAUGCCUCAAAAGCCUUCACAAGUAUCAUCUCCUCACAGGCCUGCAGCAGCUCCACCUCAGCCCUGCGAUGGAUCCUCUCCUGCCUGGCUACGCUGCUGCGGAAGCAGGACUUGGCGGCCUGGAACUACCCUGUCACCCUCCAGGUCUAUCAUGGCUUGCUGAGCUUCUGUGUUCAUACCAAGCCCAAGGUGCGGAAAGCAGCACAGCAUGGCGUAUGCUCUGUCCUGAGGGGCAGCGAGUUCAUGUUUGGAGACACAGCUCCUGAGCAUCACCCCGCAGCACCCUCCACCGCCAAGUUCUGUGUGCAGGAGAUUGAAAAAGCUGGAGGCACCAAAGAGGCGACCACCACCCUGCAUGUCUUGUCCCUGCUGCGGGACCUGCUGCCCUGCUUCCCCGCAGCCGUGGUGAAGACCUGCUGUGAAACCUUGCUCCGAGUCAUGACCCUCAGCCACGUGCUGGUGACAGCGUGUGCCAUGCAAGCCUUCCACAGCCUCUUCAGCGCCCAGGCCAGCGUGGCCUGCCUGCCGGCCGAGCUCAAUGCCCAAAUCAUCACCGCUCUCUACGAUUACGUGCCCAGCACGAGCGACCUGCAGCCACUGCUGACCUGGCUCUCCACCAUGGAGCGGGCACAUGUCAACCUGGGCAGGCUGCAGAAGGACCUCUGCUGGGCUCACCUGCCCCGGCUCUUCUCUGCUGCCAUGAACUGCUUCCUCUCCCCGCACUCCCAGGUGGUGUCGGCGGCGGCGCAGACCCUGGAGACACUCCUGAGUGAGUGUGUUGCUCCUCACAUGGAUGACCUGGGCACUGUCUCUGCAUCUGCCUCAGCCCCUGCUGCCUUCCUGUGCAAGAUGUUCAAGUCAGUGGAGGAGGGCCUGACAUAUCGUUUCCACGCGGCAUGGGGUGAGGUGCUGCGGGUGCUGGAGGUCUUCUUCGAGACGUGUGGGAAGCAGUGUCACCCGAUCAUGAGGAAGUGUCUCCGGUCCCUGUGUGACCUACGUCUGUCCCCACACUUCCCCCACACCACUGAAGUGGACCAGGCGGUGGGGGCUGCUGUAAGUGCCAUGGGCCCUGAGGUGCUGCUCGAGGCCGUGCCUCUGGAGAUCGACGGCAAGGAGGAGACGCUGGAUUUCCCUCGCAGCUGGCUCCUGCCGGUGCUGCGGGACUACGUGCAGGGCACGCGGCUCGGCUUCUUCACCAGCUACUUCUUGCCCUUGGCGGCCAUCCUGAAAAACAGAGCUGUGGAGUUUACCCAGGCUGGAAAGAGUGUGGAGGCCAAGAUCUAUGACACGCUGCAGUGGCAGGUCUGGACUCUGCUGCCCGGCUUCUGCACCCGCCCCACAGACGUGCUGGGGGCCUUCAAGGGGCUGGCCCGCACCCUGGGCAUGGCCAUCAGCGAGCGCCCUGACCUGCGCCCCACCGUGUGCCAGGCCUUGCGCACCCUCAUCCACAAAGGAUGCCAGACAGAUGCGGAGCGGGCAGAAGUGGGUCGAUUUGCUAAAAAUUUCCUGCCCAUUCUGUUCAACGUGUACAGCCAGGCCGAGGAGGAUGCAGGCAGCAAUGCUCAGCGCCGCUCCGUGCUGGACACUGUCCGUGCUUACUUGACCAUCACCGACCCCCAGAUGGUGUGUGGGUUCCUGCAGAAAGCCAGUGAGAAGCUGACCAGUCCUGAGAGCUCUGAGUUUACCAGGCUCUCCAUCCUGGACCUGGUAGUGGCAAUGGCUCCCUAUGCCAAUGAGCCGGCUCUGGGCUGCCUGUACCGCACCAUCCAACCUUCCCUCCAGAGCAAGGAGCACAGCAUGCAGAAGAAGGCGUAUCGCGUGCUGGAGGAGGUGUGUGCCGCUCCACAUGGUCCCUGCCAGGCCUUUGUCCGCUCCCACCUGCGGGAUCUGCAGACGGCGCUGCUGGACUCGCUCAAGAGCGCGGCGUCCCCGGCCAAGAGGCCCCGGCUGAAGUGCCUGUUCCACAUCGUGAAGCAGCUCUCUGCCGAGCAUGAGCCCUUCAUCACUGCCCUGGUCCCAGAGGUCAUCCUGUGCACCAAGGAGGUGUCGGUGGGAGCCCGCAAGAAUGCUUUUGCGCUGCUCGUGGAGAUGGGGCAUGCCUUCAUCCGCUUCGGACCCACCCCGCAAGAGGCCAUGGAGAGGUUCCUGCUGCUGGUCUACGCGGGGCUUACGGGCUCGGUCACCAUGAUCAGCUGCACGGUGCUGGCGCUGACCCGACUGUUCUUCGAGUUCAAAGAUCACCUGGAGCUGAGUGUGGUGGAGCAGCUCCUGCAGAACGUCUGCCUACUGCUGGCCUCCCGCACACGGGAUGUGGUGAAGGCGGCCCUGGGCUUCCUCAAAGUUGUGCUGCUGCUGGUGGACACCAAGCUGCUGGCCAAGCAUGUCCAGGUCAUGCUGGAGGCCUUGGGGAACCUUUCGGACGACAUGAGACGCCAUUUUCGCGUGAAGCUGCGAAAUCUCUUCACCAAGUUCAUCCGCAAAUUCGGCUUCGAGCUGGUGAAGGGGCUGCUGCCGGUCGAGUACCACAAGGUGCUGGUGAACAUCCGCAAGGCUGAAGCCCGGAGCCGCAAGCAGCGUGCCCUGAGGCAGGCGGCUGCGGAUACUGAUGAAGAGGAGGCACCGCCAGCACAGCCCAGAGGAGACAGCAUGGAGGAGAUCCUGGCUGACUCAGAGGAUGAGGAGGAGGAAGAGGAGGAACGGCAGCAGAGCAAGGAGCGGAGGAAGCAAGCACGGCAGAAGGGCCAGGCCUGGCUGAAGGAAGGGGAAGAGGAUGAGCCUCUCAACUUUCUGGACCCCAAUGUGUCCCAGCGGGUGCUGGCCACCAAGCCAGGCCCCAGGAGGUCCAAAGGAGUGAGCCAUGACUUCCAGAUGUCUGAGGAUGGGCGCCUGAUCAUCCACGAAGAGGAGGAGGAGGUGGAUGAUGCUGAAGCCAAAGGAGUGGACGAGGAGAUGAAAGAUGUGCUGCAAGAUGUAGGCCUCCGCAGUGUGAGUAUGGGGCUCAUGCUCCUGAGGAGAUGUGGCGGGGUUUGGCACAGUCCUGCCUGUGCUACAGCAGCUGCAGCUGUGCCCCAGAGGCCAGUGGGUACACCAGAAGAAAAGCCAGAAGCGUCGGUUCAGAGAGGAGCAGGAAGAUGAGGAACCUGAGUCUGGGACCUACCCUCAGUACAGAGCUGGAGGCUCUGGGAUCCACCGGCAGCUGGACAAGCAGCCAGCCUUUGGUGCGGAGUACAGAUCCAAGAAAGGCAAAGGUGAUGUGAAGAAGAAGGGCCAUCUUGACCCCUAUGCCUACAUUCCCCUGAACAGAGCUAAACUCAACAGAAGGAAGCAGGCGAAAAUGCAGGGCCAGUUCAAGGGGCUGAUGAAGGGUGCCCAGCGUGGGGCUAAAGCCGGCCGCAGGAACCGUCUGAAGGCCCAGCGCCCCUGAGGAGCCCUGGGUGCUCGGUCUGCACCUGCACAAGGAUGGACAACACCCCGUGGCCUCUGGACAGGGGCUUGCUGAGUGGAGCAGACAGUGGCCUGCAUCUGUUUGGGACUCCCUGGGAAGCCACCCCAUUGCAUUACAGACUCAUGGCCCCAGCCCUGCCUUCCUGUGCCUGGAGGAAGAUGUGGGGUAGCCUGGUACGGGGCAGGGGCGGUGUGUGAAAGCAAGGAAAGCAUAAUGAAUUCUUUAUGUUGAUAAAUACCCACAGUUCAUACCCA